RNAcentral lists this ribosomal RNA (253 nucleotides) under uncultured bacterium. RNAcentral describes it as "partial 16S ribosomal RNA". It matches the Rfam family "Bacterial small subunit ribosomal RNA", at positions 524 to 776 of the family's 1533-position model. The record is from RNAcentral.
UACGUAGGGAGCAAGCGUUGUCCGGAAUCAUUGGGCGUAAAGAGCGCGUAGGUGGCUUUAUAAGUCCGUUGUGAAAGUCAAAGGCUCAACCUUUGAAAGCCGAUGGAUACUGUGAAGCUAGAGUACGGAAGAGGCGAGUGGAAUUCCUGGUGUAGCGGUGAAAUGCGCAGAUAUCAGGAGGAACACCGGUGGCGAAGGCGGGUCUCUGGGCAAUAACUGACGCUGAGGAGCGAAAGCGUGGGGAGCGAACAGG